Non-coding RNA from Tetranychus urticae (two-spotted spider mite), 1278 nucleotides. The record is from RefSeq and is a predicted model, not a curated record. NCBI's taxonomy places the organism in Eukaryota, Metazoa, Arthropoda, Arachnida, Trombidiformes, Tetranychidae.
UUGAUUUAACAAAUUUUCAUUAAAUUAAACGAUUUAAAUUGCCAAUUUUACGUGCAGCUUGCCAAAAUUGCAAGAAUAGUGUAAAUUGUCAUGAAUUGUGAUUGUACUUAUCAUUUAUCUAAUUUUUCUUCUCUUGUUCUUAUGCUAAAUUUAGUUUAUUUUAAAUAUCGGUCCAAAGUCAUUCUCUCAAUUGAGAAUUGAAUAUUCAUCCAAUUAAUAUCUUGGUGUUUAAUGUGUCUAACCAUGAAGUCAAUCAAGCCAUUAAGUCAUUAAGUCAUACAGGAAUUCAGGAUGUACUGAGAAAUCUGUUUUUCAUUUAUUGCUAAUCUUAAAUCUUAAACCAGGUCUAGAGAUAUUUUUUGUUGAAUUUGUUUAAUCCAAUCGGUUUCUAUAAAGUUAGGGUCUGUCUUAUAUUUUAUAUUGUAGGGAUUAAUUGAUUAAAAGAUAAGUAAUCAACGUUUAAUAAGCAAAUCUAGUGUAAACAUUUUGCUCUUAUAUUCAGUGCUAAAUGUUUGUCCAGGGAAAAAUUGUUUUAUGGACUCUUUUUUGCUGUAUUAAUCUAUGUUAGUUAAUAGUAGGUCUACCUAAACAAUCUCUUUAAUUAGCAAUUAUUAUAUGGUGAUAAUGGAAUAUCAAUUCAACAUAAUUUUAUUUCCAUGAUAAAUUAGCUUAUUACAAAUAAAUUUGAUCACCAAGCUUGAGUGUAAUUUAUGUUUAUUAACCGUGAUAAUUUGCGUUCAAGUGUUCAUGUAAACAUGUGGUUGUACUGAGAUUCUAUGAAAUGUCUCUAGUACUUGGAUACUUUUACGGAUCUUAAGCUCUGGUUUUAAUUGUAUCUCCAUGUCACAAACAAUACAUUGACGCGUUUUUCACCGUAAAGUUAUCAGCUUUUCAAAACGGUUCAGCCUUUAAGGUAGGAGUCCAAUGUUUUUGCUGGCUUUUACCGUCCGUUAUCAAUUAAUCCAAAAACAAUUAGGUGGAAAAUCUUGGGUGGCAAAGUUAGGUGAAAUUGGAUAAAAUGUUUUAAUAGUCUAUUUGCACCGAAAUAGUUAACUUUCGUGAUUUACAAUCAAGGGAUCAGGGUGAGGUAGUUUUUUGUAAUGAAUAUGAAAGUGAUGAGAAAAUAGAGAGAAAUGGGUUGACAUCAAUCAAUUUUUGGGUAGCAUUUCAACGAGUUGAAAUGGACGAAAUAAUACAAUCACAAUGAGGUUCAAACAACAAACUUGAUCAUAGAAUUGAAUAAGAACAAUUAAUAAAACAAUACAAUUCUAUGGAUGA